AACGCACAUUGCGCCCGCCAGCACUCUGGCGGGCAUGCCUGCCCGAGCGUCAUUUCAACCCCUCAAGCACUGCUUGGUGUUGGGGACCGACCGCCCCCGGGCGCCGUCGGCCCUGAAACGAAGUGGCGGUCCCGCCGUGGAACCUCUGCGCAGUAGUAACGAACUCGCACCGGGGACCGGCGGCGGCCACGCCCAUCAAGACGAAGACCCCUUCAAGGUUGACCUCGGAUCAGGUAGGAAUACCCGCUGAACUUAA
Molecule: unclassified non-coding RNA, 256 nt
Filed under: uncultured fungus
Lineage: Eukaryota; Fungi
Description: partial contains 5.8S ribosomal RNA, internal transcribed spacer 2, and large subunit ribosomal RNA
Source: RNAcentral